ACUUGACGCAUGUCCAUUGUGCGUGUGCUAACUUUAUCUCAUGCCGCACAGAUAGACUACUACUGUAUUUUUACCAUUUUUCUUUCAUCUCAUAUUUGGUCUCAAAUGCUGAUACUAUGUGGGGGAUGCAUAAAUUGACGCCCUAUUGGUGGAAUGCGUUCUGGUCAUGUAAAAUGUGCCAGACCUUCCCUGCUUAUGCCAAACGGCAGUGUGAUGUUGUGCGGCGGCAUCUCCAUCACUUGAAAAACCGGGGCUGUCAUCAUCUCAAUGCGAGAGAUAUGGAGGGUGGUGUUUAUGAAAGAAUUCAUCCAGAAUUUGGGAGCAGAAAGAAUGGAGUGGUCUGCCAACAUUCCUCAACUCAACUUGUGGGAUCAGCUUGGCUGUGAUGUUUGUGCGAGUGUGACCAAAACAACCAUGCUGGCUGACAUGCGUGGAAUGCCGUCCCACAGCAGUGUGUGAUUUAGUGGAUUCUGAUGCAGCAUUUGAACAAAUCAGGUAGACUCUUGUUUAUUUUCCCGGCUGUUUCAACACCGCAGCAACCAUGGGAAUGCUCACAAACCCGUGUGUGAUACAUGUGAUAUCACCUGGUGCCAAGGAGGCAGCGGCAGUCAGUGCAGUUUAGUCACCCUCUUGUUUGCAUGGUCGUGUAAACCACUUUUGGGGUUGAUAUACUGUAUGACCUUUUAGUUAAGCUGUUUGUCUUUUAUUUUUGCAUACACACACAGCAUGUCUACAGCACGUGCGACAAUAUUGUCACUAGAAUGUCAAAAUGUGAAUCGAGUAUCCGCGCCAUGUUUUGUGCCAAGUCUAACAUUCAACUGAGCUAAUAUUAAAACGAGUUCACGAGUUGCUGUUUUGUUACAGUAAUAUGUUUUGUGUUUUCACCUUUUGACCUCUUUUUAUGUAUCCCCUUAAAUCCCUUAGGGGGCAGUGCCACGAGGCGCACUUGUAGCUAGUCUGGCAUCAGGGUUACCUGGGCUACCUGGAUGUGGGAUCGUUACUUCUUGUCAGAGACGCUUGUGCUUCGUUUUCUCUGUUUUGACCAAUUUAUCUUGCUAGUGUUAGCUCGUUCCUGCCCCACGUCCUCCCUGCUCCUCGUGAUGCCAUCCUACUCACCUGUGACAUUUAUGUCUUGUUACCUUUUUUGUCCUUUUUGUCCACUAUAACCUUGUGUGACUCUGCAUUUUGGAUCCUUACCUGACAGCACGUAACAAUCACUUGCGCUAUGUGUGCUUAUUUUUUUAUUUGUUGCAUGUUGUGCUGUCAUUUUUGUGUUUGCA
Molecule: long non-coding RNA, 1280 nt
Organism: Dunckerocampus dactyliophorus (ringed pipefish)
Lineage: Eukaryota; Metazoa; Chordata; Actinopteri; Syngnathiformes; Syngnathidae
Exons: 3
Source: RefSeq, a predicted model, not a curated record